GUUGAUAAGGUUAAGUGAAUAAGGGCGCACGGUGGAUGCCUUGGCACUAGGAGCCGAUGAAGGACGGGACUAACACCGAUAUGCUUUGGGGAGCUGUACGUAAGCUAUGAUCCAGAGAUUUCCGAAUGGGGGAACCCAACAUCUUUAAUAGGAUGUUACGAUUGUGUGAAUACAUAGCACAUUCGAGGUAGACGCAGAGAACUGAAACAUCUAAGUACCUGCAGGAAGAGAAAGAAAAUUCGAUUCCCUGAGUAGCGGCGAGCGAAACGGGAAAAGCCCAAACCAGCAAGCUUGCUUGUUGGGGUUGUAGGACUCCAAUAUGGUAGUUCUUUCAGAUAGUCGAAUGACUUGGAAAAGUCAGUCAAAGAGGGUAAAAACCCCGUAGACGAAAUGUGGAAGACACCUAGGAGGAUCCUGAGUACGGCGGAACACGAGAAAUUCCGUCGGAAUCCGGGAGGACCAUCUCCCAAGGCUAAAUACUCCCUAGUGACCGAUAGUGAACCAGUACCGUGAGGGAAAGGUGAAAAGCACCCCGGAAGGGGAGUGAAAUAGAACCUGAAACCGUGUGCCUACAACAAGUCAAAGCCCGUUAAUGGGUGAUGGCGUGCCUUUUGUAGAAUGAACCGGCGAGUUACGAUUGCAUGCGAGGUUAAGUUGAAGAGACGGAGCCGCAGCGAAAGCGAGUCUGAAUAGGGCGUUUGAGUAUGUAGUCGUAGACCCGAAACCAUGUGAUCUACCCAUGUCCAGGUUGAAGGUGCGGUAAAACGCACUGGAGGACCGAACCCACGUACGUUGAAAAGUGCGGGGAUGAGGUGUGGGUAGCGGAGAAAUUCCAAACGAACUUGGAGAUAGCUGGUUCUCUCCGAAAUAGCUUUAGGGCUAGCCUCGGAAUUGAGAAUGAUGGAGGUAGAGCACUGUUUGGACUAGGGGCCCAUCUCGGGUUACCGAAUUCAGAUAAACUCCGAAUGCCAUUCAUUCAUAUCCGGGAGUCAGACUGUGAGUGAUAAGAUCCAUAGUCGAAAGGGAAACAGCCCAGACCACCAGCUAAGGUCCCAAAAUAUAUGUUAAGUGGAAAAGGAUGUGGGGUUGCACAGACAACUAGGAUGUUGGCUUAGAAGCAGCCACCAUUUAAAGAGUGCGUAAUAGCUCACUAGUCGAGUGACCCUGCGCCGAAAAUGUACCGGGGCUAAACAUAUUACCGAAGCUGUGGAGUACACCUUUAGGUGUAUUGGUAGGAGAGCGUUCUAAGGGCGUUGAAGGCAGAUCGUGAGGACUGCUGGAGCGCUUAGAAGUGAGAAUGCCGGUAUGAGUAGCGAAAGACAGGUGAGAAUCCUGUCCACCGAAUGACUAAGGUUUCCUGGGGAAGGCUCGUCCGCCCAGGGUUAGUCGGGACCUAAGCCGAGGCCGACAGGCGUAGGCGAUGGAUAACAGGUUGAUAUUCCUGUACCCGUUGUUUUUGUUUGAGCAAUGGAGGGACGCAGGAGGCUAAGGAAUGCAGACGAUCGGAAAUGUCUGUCCAAGCAGUAAGUCUGAAGAGGAGUCAAAUGCUUCUUUUCUUAAGGACAAGCUGUGAUGGGGAGGGAAAUAAUAGUACCGAAGUUCCUGAUGUCACACUGCCGAGAAAAGCUUCUAGUGAGAAAACAGCGGCCCGUACCGCAAACCGACACAGGUAGUCGAGGAGAGAAUCCUAAGGUGAGCGAGAGAACUCUCGUUAAGGAACUCGGCAAAAUGACCCCGUAACUUCGGGAGAAGGGGUGCUGAUCAUACGAUCAGCCGCAGUGAAUAGGCCCAAGCGACUGUUUAUCAAAAACACAGGUCUCUGCAAAAUCGUAAGAUGAAGUAUAGGGGCUGACGCCUGCCCGGUGCUGGAAGGUUAAGAGGAGUGCUUAGCGCAAGCGAAGGUACGAAUUGAAGCCCCAGUAAACGGCGGCCGUAACUAUAACGGUCCUAAGGUAGCGAAAUUCCUUGUCGGGUAAGUUCCGACCCGCACGAAAGGCGUAACGAUUUGGGCACUGUCUCAACGAGAGACUCGGUGAAAUUUUAGUACCUGUGAAGAUGCAGGUUACCCGCGACAGGACGGAAAGACCCCAUGGAGCUUUACUGUAGUUUGAUAUUGAGUGUCUGUACCGCAUGUACAGGAUAGGUAGGAGCCGUAGAAAUCGGAACGCUAGUUUCGAUGGAGGCGCUGGUGGGAUACUACCCCUGCGUUAUGGCCACUCUAACCCGCACCACUAAUCGUGGUGGGAGACAGUGUCAGAUGGGCAGUUUGACUGGGGCGGUCGCCUCCUAAAAGGUAACGGAGGCGCCCAAAGGUUCCCUCAGAAUGGUUGGAAAUCAUUCGAAGAGUGUAAAGGCAGAAGGGAGCUUGACUGCGAGACCAACAAGUCGAGCAGGGACGAAAGUCGGGCUUAGUGAUCCGGUGGUUCCGCAUGGAAGGGCCAUCGCUCAACGGAUAAAAGCUACCCUGGGGAUAACAGGCUUAUCUCCCCCAAGAGUCCACAUCGACGGGGAGGUUUGGCACCUCGAUGUCGGCUCG
RNAcentral lists this ribosomal RNA (2536 nucleotides) under Enterococcus sp. HMSC070F12. RNAcentral's name for it is "bacterial LSU rRNA". It matches the Rfam family "Bacterial large subunit ribosomal RNA", at positions 1 to 2539 of the family's 2925-position model. Lineage: Bacteria; Bacillati; Bacillota; Bacilli; Lactobacillales; Enterococcaceae. The record is from RNAcentral.